CCCUUAGAUGUCCUGGGCCGCACGCGCGCUACACUGAGUGUCUGAGAUAUGAGGCAUGCCUGGUCCGGCAAGGUCUAGGUAAUCACGAAAAGGCACAUCAUGCUUGGGAUUGAUUAUUGCAAAUUUUAAUCAUGAACGAGGAAUUCCUAGUAAGUGCAAGUCAACAGCUUGCGUUGAUUACGUCCCUGCCCUUUGUACACACCGCCCGUCGCACCUACCGAUUGGAUGGUCCGGUGAAGCCUCGGGAUUGUGGUUCUUGCCGCUUUAUUGUGGCGUGACCGCGAGAACUUGUCUAAACCUUAUCAUCUAGAGGAAGGUGAAGUCGUAACA
RNAcentral lists this ribosomal RNA (330 nucleotides) under uncultured eukaryote. RNAcentral describes it as "partial 18S ribosomal RNA". It matches the Rfam family "Eukaryotic small subunit ribosomal RNA", at positions 1470 to 1796 of the family's 1831-position model. The record is from RNAcentral.